This 769-nucleotide ribosomal RNA is filed under the name uncultured Actinomycetes bacterium. RNAcentral's name for it is "bacterial SSU rRNA". It matches the Rfam family "Bacterial small subunit ribosomal RNA", at positions 8 to 795 of the family's 1533-position model. The record is from RNAcentral. Lineage: Bacteria; Bacillati; Actinomycetota; Actinomycetes.
AGAGUUUGAUUAUGGCUCAGGAUGAACGCUGGCGGCGUGCUUAACACAUGCAAGUCGAACGAGGUCCAACCUUCGGGUGAAGACCGAGUGGCGAACGGGUGAGUAACACGUGGGGAACCUGCCCUUCUCUCUGGGAUAACCUCGGGAAACCGGAGCUAAUACCGGAUACUCCUUGCGGACCGCAUGGUCUGCUCGGGAAAGCUCCGGCGGAGAAGGAUGGCCCCGCGGCCCAUUAGCUUGUUGGUGGGGUAACGGCCCACCAAGGCGACGAUGGGUAGCCGAGCUGAGAGGCUGAUCGGCCACACUGGGACUGAGACACGGCCCAGACUCCUACGGGAGGCAGCAGUGGGGAAUCUUGCGCAAUGGGCGAAAGCCUGACGCAGCAACGCCGCGUGCGGGAUGAAGGCUCUCGGGUCGUAAACCGCUUUCAGCAGGGAUGAAAAUGACAGUACCUGCAGAAGAAGCCCCGGCUAAAUACGUGCCAGCAGCCGCGGUAAUACGUAUGGGGCAAGCGUUAUCCGGAUUCAUUGGGCGUAAAGCGCGCGUAGGCGGCUUGUUAAGUCAGGCGUGAAAUCCGGGGGCUCAACCCGCGGCUUGCGUCUGAAACUGGCAGGCUUGAGUCUGGUAGAGGAAAGUGGAAUUCCUGGUGUAGCGGUGAAAUGCGCAGAUAUCAGGAGGAACACCAGUGGCGAAGGCGGCUUUCUGGGCCACGACUGACGCUGAGGCGCGAAAGCUAGGGAAGCGAACAGGAUUAGAUACCCUGGUAGUC